Rosa chinensis is the source of this 1213-nucleotide long non-coding RNA. RefSeq lists it as uncharacterized. NCBI's taxonomy places the organism in Eukaryota, Viridiplantae, Streptophyta, Magnoliopsida, Rosales, Rosaceae. The record is from RefSeq and is a predicted model, not a curated record. The transcript has 6 exons.
CGUGGGCUUAAUUCUCCCCUUUUUCCCAAUUCUCUUUCUCAGCAAUGAAAGCUUUGGACCUCCCCAGCCAUCAGUCUGUUGGUCGGGUAGCUAUGGUUGCUGCUGUGAAGACUUCUUGAUUCGACGGUGUAACGAUGGCUCCACCUGAUCCUAUUCUUGGAGUUUCUGAAGCAUUCAAAGCUAGCACAAAUCAGAAGAAGCUCAACCUUGGAGUUGGGGCAUACCGGACAGAAGAACUCCAGCCAUAUGUGCUUAAUGUUGUUAAGAAGUCUGUUGGUCGGGUAGCUAUGGUUGCUGCUGUGAAGACUUCUUGAUUCGACAGUGUAGCGAUGGCUCCACUUGAUCCUAUUCUUGGAGUUCUGAAGCAUUCAAAGCUAGCACAAAUUAGAAGAAGCUCAACCUUGGAGUUGGGGCAUAGCGGACAGAAGAACUCCAGCAAUAUGUGCUUAAUGUUGUUAAAAAGAGUAAUUUCAUUCAUAUGAACUGAACCUUUCAAGGCAGUGCUCAAGUGGAACCCGAAAGUAUUGAAAAUGGUAUUGGUGUUGUGAAACUAAUGGGACACUACAGUGGACUUCUGCCGGCAAAAAUUUUGCAAACCUGCUUUCUAGAUUGCCUUCCACAACAUAUUGUCAACAAUACCCUCUAUAUUCCUGUUCAGAAUAAACUGAUUUAGGGAAAUUCUACUACUGAGAAACAAAGAGAGAUUGUCAGCAAAGGAAUAAUCAUCAGACGAAACCAGUGUUGCAGAAAAAUCUUCAAACCUAAAAGACAACAUAUCAGUUAAUAGCAGGUUGCUCAUGUAUCUUCCUACAGUUUUGUUCAUCCAAAGUCUAGCUUUGUUUCAGAAGAAAUUGCUGCUAAAAUUUUGAUCCAAGACCCAAAUCUGCAAGUUUCAACAGAAACAAUUGGUGUUCAAGAUUGGUUUGUAUCAAUAGUAUUUAUUGUCUAUACAAGCAAUUACUCUCUCAAACAAUCUUCAUAAUCUUCAAUAAUAGUAAGUUCCGUGGCAAAGCACGGGCAAAAUUUCUAGCACCAGCAAAGAACUGGUUUCUUGUACUAUUGAUACGGUGCACGAGUUGUCUCCUCUUGUGAGGAAGAAUUCCAGAUAUUUCCUUUGGAUAAGGAUUGCCUAUGUGCAUCCUCAUUGCUAAGGGUACUGUGGUGAUCAUCUUGCUGUGAGAUUAUAGUGUUAUUAUUUCAUCGUUUCUUUCGA